This 344-nucleotide ribosomal RNA is filed under the name uncultured bacterium. RNAcentral's name for it is "bacterial SSU rRNA". It matches the Rfam family "Bacterial small subunit ribosomal RNA", at positions 8 to 334 of the family's 1533-position model. The record is from RNAcentral.
AGAGUUUGAUUAUGGCUCAGGAUGAACGCUGGCGGCGUGCUUAACACAUGCAAGUCGAACGAAGCACUUAAAUUUGAUUCUUCGGAUGAAGAUUUUUGUGACUGAGUGGCGGACGGGUGAGUAACGCGUGGGUAACCUGCCUCAUACAGGGGGAUAACAGUUAGAAAUGACUGCUAAUACCGCAUAAGCGCACGGUGUCGCAUGACACAGUGUGAAAAACUCCGGUGGUAUGAGAUGGACCCGCGUCUGAUUAGCUAGUUGGCGAGGUAACGGCCCACCAAGGCGACGAUCAGUAGCCGACCUGAGAGGGUGAUCGGCCACAUUGGGACUGAGACACGGCCCAA